AUUGAACGCUGGCGGCAGGCCUAACACAUGCAAGUCGAACGGUAACAGGAAGAAGCUUGCUUCUUUGCUGACGAGUGGCGGACGGGUGAGUAAUGUCUGGGAAACUGCCUGAUGGAGGGGGAUAACUACUGGAAACGGUAGCUAAUACCGCAUAACGUCGCAAGACCAAAGAGGGGGACCUCCGGGCUCUUUGCCACCGGUUGUGCCCAGAUGGGAUUAGCUAGUAGGUGGGGUAACGGCUCACCUAGGCGACGAUCCCUAGCUGGUCUGAGAGGAUGACCAGCCACACUGGAACUGAGACACGGUCCAGACUCCUACGGGUGGCAGCAGUGGGGAAUAUUGCACAAUGGGCGCAAGCCUGAUGCAGCCAUGCCGCGUGUAUGAAGAAGGCCUUCGGGUUGUAAAGUACUUUCAGCGGGGAGGAAGGGAGUAAAGUUAAUACCUUUGCUCAUUGACGUUACCCGCAGAAGAAGCACCGGCUAACUCCGUG
RNAcentral lists this ribosomal RNA (490 nucleotides) under uncultured bacterium. Its description in RNAcentral is "partial 16S ribosomal RNA". It matches the Rfam family "Bacterial small subunit ribosomal RNA", at positions 30 to 507 of the family's 1533-position model. The record is from RNAcentral.